AACGAACGCUGGCGGCGUGGAUAAGACAUGCAAGUCGAACGAGGAACCAUUAAAGCUUGCUUUGGAGGUUUCUAGUGGCGCACGGGUGAGUAACACGUGAGUUACAUGCCCUGUAGCGGGGGAUAGCCCGGGGAAACCCGGAUUAAUACCCCAUGGUCCCGCAAGGGUAAAGACGGCUUCGGCUGUCGCUGCAGGAUUGGCUCGCGGCCUAUCAGCUUGUUGGCGGGGUAACGGCCCACCAAGGCUACGACGGGUAGCUGGUCUGAGAGGACGAUCAGUCACACUGGAACUGAGACACGGUCCAGACACCUACGGGUGGCAG
This 322-nucleotide ribosomal RNA is filed under the name uncultured Verrucomicrobiota bacterium. Its description in RNAcentral is "bacterial SSU rRNA". It matches the Rfam family "Bacterial small subunit ribosomal RNA", at positions 29 to 351 of the family's 1533-position model. The record is from RNAcentral. Lineage: Bacteria; Pseudomonadati; Verrucomicrobiota.